GGAUGUGAGGGUGAUCUGGCUGCAACAUCUGUCACUCCAUUGAUCGCCAGGGUUGAUUCGGCUGAUCUGGUUGGCUAGGCGGGUGUCCCCUUCCUCCCUCACUGCUCCAUGUGCAUCCUUCCCAAAGCUGUGAAGCUGUGUGUUCCGCUCAGCUAAAGAUGACAAACUUCCCCGUUAGAGGAGGACUGUUCUUCGAUCAAGGGUAUACACUCGUAUAGUUGCGUUCCCCUGCUAGAACCUCCAAACAAGCUCUCAAGAAAUAAUUUUCAGAAGUCUGACUGUCCUGGCAAUUUUCAGUGUCCUUUUCUUUGCUCUGCCAUAUUUUACUUUUCAAG
RNAcentral lists this small nuclear RNA (335 nucleotides) under Felis catus (domestic cat). RNAcentral describes it as "7SK RNA". The stretch from base 1 to 298 matches the Rfam family "7SK RNA". From Rfam's summary of the family: 7SK was discovered as an abundant small nuclear RNA in the mid-70s but a possible function has only recently been suggested. The record is from Rfam by way of RNAcentral. Lineage: Eukaryota; Metazoa; Chordata; Mammalia; Carnivora; Felidae.